Molecule: ribosomal RNA, 1372 nt
Filed under: uncultured bacterium
Lineage: Bacteria
Description: bacterial SSU rRNA
Rfam family: Bacterial small subunit ribosomal RNA
Source: RNAcentral
GAUGAACGCUGGCGGCGUGCCUAAUACAUGCAAGUCGAGCGAACGGACGAGAAGCUUGCUUCUCUGAUGUUAGCGGCGGACGGGUGAGUAACACGUGGAUAACCUACCUAUAAGACUGGGAUAACUUCGGGAAACCGGAGCUAAUACCGGAUAAUAUUUUGAACCGCAUGGUUCAAAAGUGAAAGACGGUCUUGCUGUCACUUAUAGAUGGAUCCGCGCUGCAUUAGCUAGUUGGCAAGGUAACGGCUUACCAAGGCAACGAUGCAUAGCCGACCUGAGAGGGUGAUCGGCCACACUGGAACUGAGACACGGUCCAGACUCCUACGGGAGGCAGCAGUAGGGAAUCUUCCGCAAUGGGCGAAAGCCUGACGGAGCAACGCCGCGUGAGUGAUGAAGGUCUUCGGAUCGUAAAACUCUGUUAUUAGGGAAGAACAUAUGUGUAAGUAACUGUGCACAUCUUGACGGUACCUAAUCAGAAAGCCACGGCUAGCUACGUGCCAGCAGCCGCGGUAAUACCUAAGUGGCAAGCGUUAUCCGGAAUUAUUGGGCGUAAAGCGCGCGUAGGCGGUUUUUUAGUCUGAUGUGAAAGCCCACGGCUCAACCGUGGAGGGUCAUUGGAAACUGGAAAACUUGAGUGCAGAAGAGGAAAGUGGAAUUCCAUGUGUAGCGGUGAAAUGCGCAGAGAUAUGGAGGAACACCAGUGGCGAAGGCGACUUUCUGGUCUGUAACUGACGCUGAUGUGCGAAAGCGUGGGGAUCAAACAGGAUUAGAUACCCUGGUAGUCCACGCCGUAAACGAUGAGUGCUAAGUGUUAGGGGGUUUCCGCCCCUUAGUGCUGCAGCUAACGCAUUAAGCACUCCGCCUGGGGAGUACGACCGCAAGGUUGAAACUCAAAGGAAUUGACGGGGACCCGCACAAGCGGUGGAGCAUGUGGUUUAAUUCGAAGCAACGCGAAGAACCUUACCAAAUCUUGACAUCCUUUGACAACUCUAGAGAUAGAGCCUUCCCCUUCGGGGGGGCAAAGUGACAGGUGGUGCAUGGUUGUCGUCAGCUCGCGUCGUGAGAUGUUGGGUUAAGUCCCGCAACGAGCGCAACCCUUAAGCUUAGUUGCCAUCAUUAAGUUGGGCACUCUAAGUUGACUGCCGGUGACAAACCGGAGGAAGGUGGGGAUGACGUCAAAUCAUCAUGCCCCUUAUGAUUUGGGCUACACACGUGCUACAAUGGACAAUACAAAGGGCAGCGAAACCGCGAGGUCAAGCAAAUCCCAUAAAGUUGUUCUCAGUUCGGAUUGUAGUCUGCAACUCGACUACAUGAAGCUGGAAUCGCUAGUAAUCGUAGAUCAGCAUGCUACGGUGAAUACGUUCCCGGGUCU